GUCCUUUCUCCGCUCUCACGUGGCGCGCAGCACGGCGGUGCUGGUGGCUUUGGCCUGGCGGGUGGUUAUGGCUUGGGAAUCCGAAGUGUCCGCGGCGGCUUUGGGCCGCUGCGAUCCCUUCCCGGCAAGUGGGAAGACGGCGCGGAGACGGUGGCGGUGUGAGGAGCACGGCCCGCCGGACCCCAUGGGAAAUGGGUCGGUGUGAGCCGAGCGCCGUCUGUGAUGUGGAUCUUCGCCGUCUGCCCAGCCGCACCCCUGGGCGAGAGUGGAGUGGCGAUCGGAGUCGAGAGGUAGGUGUUUGAAGCUGACCGACACUUGCGGAACGACACACGGGAGCGCCAAGGUGGCUCAAGGGUGUCCUUGAUCGUUUGGAAAUGUGAUCUUCAGAAACAUGGAUGACUUGAAUUUUCUAAGAGCUGUGUAAGGGCACAUUUUUGUAACAAAGCUAUGAAUAAAUAUUUAAUAUGCUGCUCUGA
This is a long non-coding RNA of Microtus oregoni (creeping vole), 476 nucleotides long. RefSeq lists it as uncharacterized. The record is from RefSeq and is a predicted model, not a curated record. The transcript has 3 exons. NCBI's taxonomy places the organism in Eukaryota, Metazoa, Chordata, Mammalia, Rodentia, Cricetidae.